GACGAACGCUGGCGGCAUGCCGAACACUUGCAAGUCGAACGAGAUCUUCGGGUCUAGUGGCGCACGGGUGCGUAACGCGUGGGAAUCUGCCCUUUGGUUCGGAAUAACAGUUGGAAACGACUGCUAAUACCGGAUGAUGACGAAAGUCCAAAGAUUUAUCGCCAGAGGAUGAGCCCGCGUAGGAUUAGCUAGUUGGUGUGGUAAAGGCGCACCAAGGCGACGAUCCUUAGCUGGUCUGAGAGGAAGAUCAGCCACACUGGUACGGAGACACGGCCCAGACUCCUACGGGAGGAAGCAGUGGGGAAUAUUGGACAAUGGGCGAAAGCCUGAUCCAGCAAUGCCGCGUGAGUGAUGAAGGCCGUAGGGUUGUAAAGCUCUUUUACCCGGGAUGAUAAUGACCGUACCGGGAGAAUAAGCUCCGGCUAACUCCGGGCCAGCAGCCGCCGUAA
RNAcentral lists this ribosomal RNA (449 nucleotides) under uncultured bacterium. Its description in RNAcentral is "partial 16S ribosomal RNA". It matches the Rfam family "Bacterial small subunit ribosomal RNA", at positions 28 to 523 of the family's 1533-position model. The record is from RNAcentral.